This 1547-nucleotide long non-coding RNA is filed under the name Helianthus annuus (common sunflower). RNAcentral's name for it is "hypothetical non coding rna". Lineage: Eukaryota; Viridiplantae; Streptophyta; Magnoliopsida; Asterales; Asteraceae. The record is from RNAcentral.
UCAUUCUUCUUCUUCGUCGCUUCAUUCUUGAAACCCUAGAUUCACAUCUCUGCUACUGCAGAUCAUAUCGCCUCUUCUUCCAAUGUCCCAUUUUCUGUAAAACCUAAAUCUUUAUCAUCGCUUAAUCGUCAUUACCACCACAAACUUGGAUUAUCUUCUUAUUUUUGGUGGUGGAGACAACCUACGUAAACCCUAAGUUAAGGUAUUUGAUGAUUGGAACAAAAUGGAAAGAGAUUUGUUUGAGAGGGUUUUUUUUAUUUGAGGGCUGCGUUUUUGGUUUUGAUUCUGCUUGGUUUUGGCGCUUCCUCAAAAAAGGCCGGAGUUUUCUUUUGUAUGUUAUUCUUUCAAUAUUUUUUGGCAUAGAGUAGAAGCUAUGAGCGAUUCGGAAGAGAUCAUCUAACACAAAGAAGGGAAAUGAUGAUGUCAACCAUGGAAGAAGCGAAUCGAGUGAAGAAGAUGUUGCUGGAAAUGCAGACCCAUAAGAAAAUAAGCCACUACAUAACUCAAAUAUUAUAAAGUUUUUAUUUCAUUUCUUUUUAAUCUCAUUCUUCCUUCUUUGUAUUUCCAUUAAUUGAUUUCGCCAUAUUCAUGCUCCAUGAUGGUUACAAAUGUUGCACUAAAUCUGGAUAGUAUACAGCAGGAAGACGUGUUUCUUUUUAAAAUUGUUUCAUCUCACUUUUUGUUUAUUUAGGAAUUCAUGGUUUGUAUAAAAAAGAUCUUUAUUUAGAGAAGCAGUGGGACAUGCACUUGACAUCCAAUGUCUAUUUCGGAGAUGCUGGUAGUAGUGGGAAGAGUGGUGCUGAACUGGUUGAAAAAAGGCUUAGUGAGGUCUCUUGCGAUGGAACAAAGACAGUGAGUUAGGUGGUUCUUCAAGCAGGCGAAGUUUAUUGUGACAAGCAGCCUGCGUCAUGACAACAAGGAUCAUGUGUCGGAUGCGUUUUACCGCUCUAUCCUAGCAAAGAUUCCUCCAGUUGUUGCUUACGUGUUGGUGCCCGUGUAUCACGUUUGGACGAAUUGGUGAGAUCCUCGACAAGGGAACUACUUUACUUACCCAACAUUGUUUAAGCAUAUGUCUAAAGAGGUUGAUGUUACUCUGCGAAAGCUUAUUCGACAAACUUAUGUGCAAAGUUACAAUGGAGAUCUCCUUAAAGCACUUGACAGGGAACUUACAAGUGAUUUUGAGAUGUGAGUGUGAAAAACCUGGUACCUGACCAAGAAUUGUUAAAAAGGAUAUGUUCAGGGUAUGCCAACUACAUGUAAAACUAUCUGAUUCCAUCGCAACAAGUUAGGGUCCACACUUAAAAGCUUGGCUAGAUGGAGUUUUUGGUCAAAUGUCAAGGAGGGCAAGUUUUAACUUUUGAUGAAAUAGCACAGGACAACAACAUAAUAUUGUUAUUAAUUUUUACUUUUAUCUUUUUAUAUGUACACGAAUUAGUUGAGAAAUUCAUGAUUGGGAGCUACAUUUUUUAUUUAAUGUAAUUUAAUAUCUACAUAAGUAACGGAACGUUUCUUUUAUUUCAAGGUUCAUGUUUAAAUGUAUUUUUUGC